RNAcentral lists this ribosomal RNA (484 nucleotides) under uncultured bacterium. RNAcentral describes it as "partial 16S ribosomal RNA". It matches the Rfam family "Bacterial small subunit ribosomal RNA", at positions 28 to 507 of the family's 1533-position model. The record is from RNAcentral.
AUUGAACGCUGGCGGCAUGCUUUACACAUGCAAGUCGAACGGCAGCGCGGGCUUCGGCCUGGCGGCGAGUGGCGAACGGGUGAGUAAUGCAUCGGAACGUGCCCAGUAGUGGGGGAUAGCCCGGCGAAAGCCGGAUUAAUACCGCAUACGACCUGAGGGGGAAAGCGGGGGACCGAAAGGCCUCGCGCUGUUGGAGCGGCCGAUGUCGGAUUAGCUAGUUGGUGGGGUAAAGGCUUACCAAGGCGACGAUCCGUAGCUGGUCUGAGAGGACGACCAGCCACACUGGGACUGAGACACGGCCCAGACUCCUACGGGAGGCAGCAGUGGGGAAUUUUGGACAAUGGGGGCAACCCUGAUCCAGCCAUGCCGCGUGCGGGAAGAAGGCCUUCGGGUUGUAAACCGCUUUUGUUCGGGAAGAAAUCCUCUGGGCUAAUACCCCGGGGGGAUGACGGUACCGGAAGAAUAAGCACCGGCUAACUACGUG